Molecule: ribosomal RNA, 400 nt
Filed under: uncultured bacterium
Lineage: Bacteria
Description: bacterial SSU rRNA
Rfam family: Bacterial small subunit ribosomal RNA
Source: RNAcentral
UAGGGAAUAUUGCGCAAUGGAGGAAACUCUGACGCAGCAAUGCCGCGUGGGUGAGGAAGGUCUUCGGAUUGUAAAACCCUGUUAGUAGGGACAAAUGUCCUUGUAGCUAAUAUCUAUAAGGAGUGAUGGUACCUGCAGAGAAAGCACCGGCUAACUUCGUGCCAGCAGCCGCGGUAAUACGAAGGGUGCAAGCGUUGCUCGGAAUUAUUGGGCGUAAAGGGUGCGUAGGCGGAAAGGUAAGUCAGGUGUGAAAUCUCGGGGCUCAACCCCGAAACUGCGCCUGAAACUGCUUUUCUUGAAUCCUGGGGAGGGAAGAGGAAUUUCACAUGUAGGGGUAAAAUCCGUAGAGAUGUGAAGGAACACCGGUAGCGAAAGCUUCUUCCUAAACAGUGAUUGACGC